GGCGAGCGCGCAGUCACGUAGCCACUAGGCAGCCAGUCCGCUCCGCGCCGCCUCCGGACCGCGCGGACUCCUGAAGAGAUGGUUUUCAAAGUCUGGUGGCGGAAUUGAAGCCUUCAAAAGAAGGACUAAUCAGAAGCCCGAUAUGUAAAACAGUGGAGGCUGGAAUGCAUCGAGUGGCCUGGCAAGUGUGAAGCCCUUGGGGUCCGCAGGGGACAGUUUGAAAAUCUCUGGCCUGUAGGAUAAAGGUUCCCUCAUGAGACCACAGUUAAGAUGUUGGCCAGGGCUGCAGUCACCAUGGCGGCCGGAGGAUUCCCUGCUGAGAUGGCUUAGUCACCUGACUGGCCUGUCAGUGGAUUCUCUGGGCUCUGAUCCAAGUCUUUAACCCACAUGCAACUGGAUGGCAAGAAGUAGUUUGCUCGGAAGUCUGAUUGAGUACAUCUUCCUCACCUCCUAAGAGCUCGGGUGAAGUUUCUCUGCCUAAGAUAUUUUCAUCACGGAAUAAUACUCCAUUGUAUGGACAGACCGUUUAUCCAUUCGCCUACUGAAGGACAUCUUGGUUAUUUGCAAAUUUGGGAUGUUUGUGUUAUAAACAUGCAUGUGCAGGUUUUUGUAUGGAUUUGCCUGUUAAUUUUUCAGUGCUCGCCGACACA
Molecule: long non-coding RNA, 650 nt
Organism: Balaenoptera acutorostrata (minke whale)
Lineage: Eukaryota; Metazoa; Chordata; Mammalia; Artiodactyla; Balaenopteridae
Exons: 5
Source: RefSeq, a predicted model, not a curated record